RNAcentral lists this small RNA (36 nucleotides) under Arabidopsis thaliana (thale cress). RNAcentral describes it as "ATSL168810". Lineage: Eukaryota; Viridiplantae; Streptophyta; Magnoliopsida; Brassicales; Brassicaceae. The record is from RNAcentral.
UUUUUGAUUUUUUUUUUAUUUUUCUACUAAAAAAAA